AAAAACAAUAUCACGGCUUUAAGGGGUUAGUCUCACUCUUUCCGUGCUACCGGUAGGCCACACAUUUAAUUUGGUUUCUUGUCGUUGUCCUUUCUGAGUUGCCGGACAGUCCAUCCUAUUCAUGUCACCGGCCCUUCUUUCCUGAUUGAGCUGCCGGACCAUCUAUUCUUUUCGCGAUAAUUUGUUUCAUAUGUUUUUUGAAAGGUUCCAUCUUCUUGAGUUGCCAACCCUUCGUGCACCCGUCUUCUCCAACUCCGCAAAGUGGAAAAAGGGUUUGACAUCGCUAAUGUUUCUCCUUGCUGGGCUUACCGGCUCUUUUUCAUUUGAACCGUACAACAGACAACGUGAAAUCGAAGGAAAUAGUUGAAUACCGAGGACAGAAAAAGAGAACAGUUGAAAAAAAUAAGGAUGGGAACUUUUAUCGCCAAGUUUACACGGAAUUUACGGGGAAUUUGAACGUAGAUGCUGCACUUUUUAAUCCGCACUUGGUCGCUUGGCACAACGGUAACAAACGUGUUCUUCAUACCAUACUACUGCUGAAUUUCCAAAGCAUGACCAUAGAAAUACGGAUGAAAUAUGUGGUCCAAAAAGUUACGAAGGGCAAGCAUGUCUUCAAAGUUCACAAGAACCUUUUCGGAUUCGUACUUGAUAACAUUUCCUCCCAAUUACUAUAUGUUGUAGGUGAAAAAUAUUAAUUUUGUUUUUUGUUUCCUUUUACAGAUGUCGUAGGACUGUGCCUCGCCCGAGAGAAACUCCUAGUUGCAACUGAAAAAGAAAUUUUUCACCAAAUAGGGCUGUUACUCAUGAGUUCCGGUGAUGAAGACGGGGGCGUAGUCCAAAGAAAAAAAAAAGACUACGAAAAAAGCCGUGCUAGAAAAUCAUUUUAAAACUACAACAAACGACGCUGAUGGUGAUGGAAACAGCAGUACCAAUAGUGAAUCCGGAAAUUAAUUUGUUUAAUGGGGUUUAGAACAGUAACCGAAUUAUUCAAUAAAAACUGUUUCAGUAUCUUCAUUUAUAGCAUUAGGGCAAACAUAAAUUACAUCCUGAUGGGGAAACUACACUGCCCCAGCUCAAAAAUUCAUCACUUGUUUCUUUAUUGGAAAGGUUCCCAGUUGUGUUGCAAGGGGAAAUCGGCUUUAAGAUUCAAAAUUCCCUUGUGA
This is a long non-coding RNA of Daphnia pulex (common water flea), 1163 nucleotides long. RefSeq lists it as uncharacterized. The transcript has 3 exons. The record is from RefSeq and is a predicted model, not a curated record. NCBI's taxonomy places the organism in Eukaryota, Metazoa, Arthropoda, Branchiopoda, Diplostraca, Daphniidae.